AUCACUCUCUUCUGGGUCUAAGGGUUCAUCCUCCCAACCAUCAGUGCAGUCAAGACCGGUCAGGUCAUCCAGCGCCGUUAGAUGUUUCACAUGCGGAGGACCCCAUUACAGGAACAACUGCCCUGUUGGAAGUGGUGCAAGGAAGUGCUUCAGGUGUAGAAAAUAAGGAGACAUUGUUGUUGAGUGUACCUCUGUAGUAGGGUCAGGGUCUCAAGCAC
RNAcentral lists this long non-coding RNA (218 nucleotides) under Vigna radiata. RNAcentral describes it as "long non-coding RNA (VRAD_LNC008058)". The record is from RNAcentral. Lineage: Eukaryota; Viridiplantae; Streptophyta; Magnoliopsida; Fabales; Fabaceae.